GCCAUCUCCCUCAGAUGUAACCCACUCUCUAGCAUUUUUUUUUCCUUUCAGAGCCUUAUAUUCUUCUUACUACCUCUUCUGCUGGCAUUUUCAGUGCUCAGGUUUGUCUCACAGCUGCCUUCACAAGCUGCCGAUAUUGGGAAAGCUCUUCAGUUUCUCAGGAAAGUCAUCUUUAUACAGAACAGGGUCAGCACGGUGCUCCACCACUUUCAGAGGCAUGGUCCCAAAGACAGAGGCAAACUUAUUGAUGCAUUCAGAUCUUUCCACCAUGUGUGUCUGGUCCAGUGAUAACCCAUCGAUUGCUGUGCAUUCUGGACAUUUGAACUUCUUUCGUGGGGUCACCUUGAUGACUGAUUUACCAGUGACAUUUGCCACUAGGAAAUUCAUGGCAAUAUCUUCACAGUUCAUAUGGGCAUCCACCCAAUUCUUGAUAUCUCCAGGCAUUUUGUAGGUGUAAAGAUAGUUGAAAUACUUGUGAUAAAAUGCUGCCCCAGUGAGCACCAUUGAG
Molecule: long non-coding RNA, 508 nt
Filed under: Gallus gallus (chicken)
Lineage: Eukaryota; Metazoa; Chordata; Aves; Galliformes; Phasianidae
Source: RNAcentral